GACGAACGCUGGCGGCGUGCUUAACACAUGCAAGUCGAACGGAAAGGCCCUGCUUUUGUGGGGUGCUCGAGUGGCGAACGGGUGAGUAACACGUGAGUAACCUGCCCUUGACUUUGGGAUAACUUCAGGAAACUGGGGCUAAUACCGGAUAGGAGCUCCUGCUGCAUUGUGUGGGUUGGAAAGUUUCGGCGGUUGGGGAUGGACUCGCGGCCUAUCAGCUUGUUGGUGGGGUAGUGGCUUACCAAGUCUUUGACGGGUACGCGGCCGGGGAGGGUGACCGGCCACAUUGGGACUGAGAUACGGCCCAGACUCCUACGGGAGGCAGCAGUGGGGAAUAUUGCACAAUGGGCGGAAGCCUGAUGCAGCAACGCCGCGUGCGGGAUGACGGCCUUCGGGUUGUAAACCGCUUUCGCCUGUGACGAAGCGUGAGUGACGGUAAUGGGUAAAGAAGCACCGGCUAACUACGUG
RNAcentral lists this ribosomal RNA (468 nucleotides) under uncultured bacterium. Its description in RNAcentral is "partial 16S ribosomal RNA". It matches the Rfam family "Bacterial small subunit ribosomal RNA", at positions 28 to 507 of the family's 1533-position model. The record is from RNAcentral.